Molecule: ribosomal RNA, 569 nt
Filed under: uncultured Gammaproteobacteria bacterium
Lineage: Bacteria; Pseudomonadati; Pseudomonadota; Gammaproteobacteria
Description: bacterial SSU rRNA
Rfam family: Bacterial small subunit ribosomal RNA
Source: RNAcentral
UCGAUUUGGAGUUUGUUGCCUAGAGUGAUGGGCUCCGAAGCUAACGCGAUAAAUCGACCGCCUGGGGAGUACGGCCGCAAGGUUAAAACUCAAAUGAAUUGACGGGGGCCCGCACAAGCGGUGGAGCAUGUGGUUUAAUCCGAUGCAACGCGAAGAACCUUACCUGGUCUUGACAUCCACAGAAUCUUGCAGAGAUGCGAGAGUGCCUUCGGGAACUGUGAGACAGGUGCUGCAUGGCUGUCGUCAGCUCGUGUUGUGAAAUGUUGGGUUAAGUCCCGCAACGAGCGCAACCCUUAUCCUUUGUUGCCAUUGGUUCGGCCGGGAACUCAAAGGAGACUGCCGUUGAUAAAGCGGAGGAAGGUGGGGACGACGUCAAGUCAUCAUGGCCCUUACGACCAGGGCUACACACGUGCUACAAUGGCGUAUACAAAGGGAGGCGACCUCGCGAGAGCAAGCGGACCUCAUAAAGUACGUCUAAGUCCGGAUUGGAGUCUGCAACUCGACUCCAUGAAGUCGGAAUCGCUAGUAAUCGUGAAUCAGAAUGUCACGGUGAAUACGUUCCCGGGCCU